This 253-nucleotide ribosomal RNA is filed under the name uncultured bacterium. Its description in RNAcentral is "partial 16S ribosomal RNA". It matches the Rfam family "Bacterial small subunit ribosomal RNA", at positions 524 to 776 of the family's 1533-position model. The record is from RNAcentral.
UACGGGGGGGGCAAGCGUUGUUCGGAAUUACUGGGCGUAAAGGGUUUGUAGGUGGCUCGCUAAGUCACACGUGAAAUCCCUCAGCUUAACUGGGGAACUGCGUGUGAGACUGGCAAGCUCGAGUGCAGGAGAGGAAUGCGGAAUUCCAGGUGUAGCGGUGAAAUGCGUAGAUAUCUGGAGGAACACCGGUGGCGAAGGCGGCAUUCUGGACUGCAACUGACACUGAAAAACGAAAGCCAGGGGAGCAAACGGG